GAUGAACGCUGGCGGCGUGCCUAAUACAUGCAAGUCGAGCGAAUGGAUUGAGAGCUUGCUCUUAUGAAGUUAGCGGCGGACGGGUGAGUAACACGUGGGUAACCUGCCCAUAAGACUGGGAUAACUCCGGGAAACCGGGGCUAAUACCGGAUAACAUUUUGAACCGCAUGGUUCGAAAUUGAAAGGCGGCUUCGGCUGUCACUUAUGGAUGGACCCGCGUCGCAUUAGCUAGUUGGUGAGGUAACGGCUCACCAAGGCAACGAUGCGUAGCCGACGUGGGAGGGUGAUCGGCCACACUGGGACUGAGACACGGCCCAGACUCCUACAGGAGGCAGCAGUAGGGAAUCUUCCGCAAUGGACGAAAGUCUGACGGAGCAACGCCGCGUGAGUGAUGAAGGCUUUCGGGUCGUAAAACUCUGUUGUUAGGGAAGAACAAGUGCUAGUUGAAUAAGCUGGCACCUUGACGGUACCUAACCAGAAAGCCACGGCUAACUACGUGCCAGCCGCCGCCGUAA
This 515-nucleotide ribosomal RNA is filed under the name uncultured bacterium. Its description in RNAcentral is "partial 16S ribosomal RNA". It matches the Rfam family "Bacterial small subunit ribosomal RNA", at positions 28 to 523 of the family's 1533-position model. The record is from RNAcentral.